Long non-coding RNA from Perca fluviatilis (European perch), 863 nucleotides. RefSeq lists it as uncharacterized. The record is from RefSeq and is a predicted model, not a curated record. Lineage: Eukaryota; Metazoa; Chordata; Actinopteri; Perciformes; Percidae. The transcript is spliced from 4 exons.
GUUUCCAACUUCGCCCCAGGUGUGUCUGUUUAAAACACAUGUAGCAGUAUAGAAAAAGUUGUCUUGUUGCGCCUGCUGACCACUAGGGCGGCAGUAUAUAAGUGCGGCCUUCCUUCUCGCGCUCCCACUGCUGCAUCAUUUCCGGGUCAGGUGUCUGUCUGUGCAGAGCAGCGACCGAGUGCUCCGUGUGGCGUUCUCCAUUUUUAUUUCCUGGUUCCCUUGAGCGGUGGUAGAUGUCUGCUGUCGUGUGGGUCUUUCUCUCCCUCCCUCUCGCUGUGCAGGUUUGACUUUGAAAACAGGUAUGCUACCUUAAAUUUAGCCCCCGAAAACCUUGAUUAAUGUAGCUUAGCCAUGCUAAUUUUAUGUUUAUUGACAGGGAAUGCUCAUCAGCUGGCCGAAGUCUACCGGUGGUGAUUGAGUGGCUGCAGGCUGGUGGUGGUGCUGGUGACGUGGGUGGUGGUGGUCUUCCUUCUCGUGUGCCGUGUUAACUUGGAUUUGGUGAUCUCACUGUGUGUCUGGGUGAACCCUUUUUCUUUAAUUUAGUUUUAUUAGUUCUUCUUCCCCUUCACCUGCCCUUCCCACCAGUAGGCCUCAGCCCCUGAUUAGGUUUCUUUCCUUUUUCUUAUUUGUGAUCAAUGCUAUAUUUUAUAUUUAUACAGUUUUAUUGAAUAAACUAUUUUUGUAAUCUGGGAACCACGUGUUUUUGCCCAUUGAGUGGAACGAACCUGUGUGCUUUAAAGGUCUUGGGCCUAUCCCAAGUGGCGUUGUCGGAAAUCUUAAAAUCUCAGAGUGUCAUCAAACCCAUUCGAUUUGCCACACUUGGCGUUGUCGGCAGGAUUCACUCUUCUAAGGGCAAAGACGUG